RNAcentral lists this ribosomal RNA (480 nucleotides) under uncultured Bacillus sp. RNAcentral's name for it is "bacterial SSU rRNA". It matches the Rfam family "Bacterial small subunit ribosomal RNA", at positions 40 to 500 of the family's 1533-position model. RNAcentral also lists the same sequence under 1 other name. Lineage: Bacteria; Bacillati; Bacillota; Bacilli; Caryophanales; Bacillaceae. The record is from RNAcentral.
GGGGGUGCCCUAAAUCAUGCCAGGUCGAGCGGACAGAUGGGAGCUUGCUCCCUGAAGUCAGCGGCGGACGGCGUGAGUAACACGUGGGCAACCUGCCUGUAAGACUGGGAUAACUCCGGGAAACCGGAGCUAAUACCGGAUAACAUUUCGAACCGCAUGGUUCGGAAUUGAAAGGUGGCUUUUGCUAUCACUUACAGAUGGACCCGCGGCGCAUUAGCUAGUUGGUGAGGUAACGGCUCACCAAGGCAACGAUGCGUAGCCGACCUGAGAGGGUGAUCGGCCACACUGGGACUGAGACACGGCCCAGACUCCUACGGGAGGCAGCAGUAGGGAAUCUUCCGCAAUGGACGAGGGUCUGACGGAGCAACGCCGCGUGAACGAUGAAGGCCUUCGGGUCGUAAAGUUCUGUUGUUAGGGAAGAACAAGUACCAGAGUAACUGCUGGUACCUUGACGGUACCUAACCAGAAAGCCACGGCUAA